AUUGAACGCUGGCGGCAGGCCUAACACAUGCAAGUCGAGCGGAUGAAGGGAGCUUGCUCCUGGAUUCAGCGGCGGACGGGUGAGUAAUGCCUAGGAAUCUGCCUGGUAGUGGGGAUAACGUCCGGAAACGGGCGCUAAUACCGCAUACGUCCUGAGGGAGAAAGUGGGGGAUCUUCGGACCUCACGCUAUCAGAUGAGCCUAGGUCGGAUUAGCUAGUUGGUGGGGUAAAGGCCUACCAAGGCGACGAUCCGUAACCGGUCUGAGAGGAUGAUCAGUCACACUGGAACUGAGACACGGUCCAGACUCCUACGGGAGGCAGCAGCGGGGAAUAUUGGACAAUGGGCGAAAGCCUGAUCCAGCCAUGCCGCGUGUGUGAAGAAGGUCUUCGGAUUGUAAAGCACUUUAAGUUGGGAGGAAGGGCAGUAAGUUAAUACCUUGCUGUUUUGACGUUACCAACAGAAUAAGCACCGGCUAACUUCGUG
Molecule: ribosomal RNA, 483 nt
Filed under: uncultured bacterium
Lineage: Bacteria
Description: partial 16S ribosomal RNA
Rfam family: Bacterial small subunit ribosomal RNA
Source: RNAcentral